Molecule: ribosomal RNA, 44 nt
Filed under: Nakataea oryzae
Lineage: Eukaryota; Fungi; Ascomycota; Sordariomycetes; Magnaporthales; Magnaporthaceae
Description: partial 18S ribosomal RNA
Source: RNAcentral
AUNGUAACAAGGUCUCCGUUGGUGAACCAGCGGAGGGAUCAUUA